UGGAACAAAGGCAGGGUGUGGCUCUCAUAGCUGCAGCAGGGCUCAGAAGAGGAAGCAGGAAGCUGGAGUGAAGGAGGUCGGAAGGCUUGGCCAUGACUGAGGAAAUCCGUAAGAUCCAGGGCAACUGGGUGAUCACUUGGGUAAACACCCGGAAGCCCUUGGCCAAGCUGGACGAACCAGUGAACAGCUCUCAAAUAAAGAAGGAGGAAGAGGGGGAAGAGGAGGAUGAUGAUGAUGAUGAGGCAGAGGAAGAGGAGGAGGAGGAGGCAGCGGUAAGAGAAGAGGAGGAGGAGGAGGCAGCGAUAAAAGAAGAGGAGGAAGAGGAGGAGGCAGCAGUGAAAGAAGAGGAGGAGGAGGAGGAGGAGGAGAGCUCAUCUGAGGCUGAGCAAAAUGAGUCAGAGAACAGGCAGAAGGUCAUUGACCAAGUCCUGUCAGUUCUGGAGCAGAGUCCCGAAAGACAGCAGGGGCAGAGUUCCAACACACACCUGGAGCAGAGUGCCAACAGACGCCGCAAGCGCACGGUGGUGGUGCUCUACUAUAGAGGGAAGAAGAGGAGGGAAGAAGAUGAGAAGCCUGUGCUUCAGGGCCCACCCUUGGAGGAGAUAGUGGAGGAGGCCAAACCCGCAGGAGCCCUGCCCUGGGGGACUCCAGAAGCUGUGCGGAAGAUACUGCAAGGAGCAGUCAGCACAGCAGUGGGUGGAGCAGUCAACACAGUAGGCGGAGCAGUCAGCACAGUAGGCGGAGCAGUCAGCACUGCAGUGGGUGGAGCAGUCAACA
This 777-nucleotide long non-coding RNA is filed under the name Chinchilla lanigera (long-tailed chinchilla). Its description in RNAcentral is "lncRNA (ENSCLAG00000028016.1)". The record is from RNAcentral. Lineage: Eukaryota; Metazoa; Chordata; Mammalia; Rodentia; Chinchillidae.